Phrynosoma platyrhinos (Desert horned lizard) is the source of this 74-nucleotide non-coding RNA. NCBI's taxonomy places the organism in Eukaryota, Metazoa, Chordata, Lepidosauria, Squamata, Phrynosomatidae. The record is from the annotation of a GenBank genome assembly.
GAUCCAGUGUUGGGUAGUGGUUUGCGCAUUGGACUAUGACUCUGGAGACCAGGGUUCAAAUCCUAGCUCCAUCA